This 763-nucleotide ribosomal RNA is filed under the name uncultured Streptococcus sp. RNAcentral describes it as "bacterial SSU rRNA". It matches the Rfam family "Bacterial small subunit ribosomal RNA", at positions 28 to 776 of the family's 1533-position model. Lineage: Bacteria; Bacillati; Bacillota; Bacilli; Lactobacillales; Streptococcaceae. The record is from RNAcentral.
GACGAACGCUGGCGGCGUGCCUAAUACAUGCAAGUAGAACGCUGAAGAAGGAGCUUGCUUCUCUGGAUGAGUUGCGAACGGGUGAGUAACGCGUAGGUAACCUGCCUGGUAGCGGGGGAUAACUAUUGGAAACGAUAGCUAAUACCGCAUAAGAGUAGAUGUUGCAUGACAUUUGCUUAAAAGGUGCAAUUGCAUCACUACCAGAUGGACCUGCGUUGUAUUAGCUAGUUGGUGGGGUAACGGCUCACCAAGGCGACGAUACAUAGCCGACCUGAGAGGGUGAUCGGCCACACUGGGACUGAGACACGGCCCAGACUCCUACGGGAGGCAGCAGUAGGGAAUCUUCGGCAAUGGACGGAAGUCUGACCGAGCAACGCCGCGUGAGUGAAGAAGGUUUUCGGAUCGUAAAGCUCUGUUGUAAGAGAAGAACGAGUGUGAGAGUGGAAAGUUCACACUGUGACGGUAUCUUACCAGAAAGGGACGGCUAACUACGUGCCAGCAGCCGCGGUAAUACGUAGGUCCCGAGCGUUGUCCGGAUUUAUUGGGCGUAAAGCGAGCGCAGGCGGUUAGAUAAGUCUGAAGUUAAAGGCUGUGGCUUAACCAUAGUACGCUUUGGAAACUGUUUAACUUGAGUGCAAGAGGGGAGAGUGGAAUUCCAUGUGUAGCGGUGAAAUGCGUAGAUAUAUGGAGGAACACCGGUGGCGAAAGCGGCUCUCUGGCUUGUAACUGACGCUGAGGCUCGAAAGCGUGGGGAGCAAACAGG